AGGGAUCAUUGCUGGAACGCGCCCCAGGCGCACCCAGAAACCCUUUGUGAACUUAUACCUUACUGUUGCCUCGGCGCAUGCCGGCCCCCCUGGGGGCCCCUCCUUCUGGAGGAGCAGGCACGCCGGCGGCCAACCUAACUCUUGUUUUUACACUGAAACUCUGAGCACAAAACAUAAAUGAAUCAAAACUUUCAACAACGGAUCUCUUGGUUCUGGGCAUCGAUGAAGAACGCAGCGAAAUGCGAUAAGUAAUGUGAAUUGCAGAAUUCAGUGAAUCAUCGAAUCUUUGAACGCACAUUGCGCCCUCUGGUAUUCCGGAGGGCAUGCCUGUUCGAGCGUCAUUUCAACCCUCAAGCCUGGCUUGGUGAUGGGGCACUGCCUGUAAAAGGGCAGGCCUUGAAAUUCAGUGGCGAGCUCGCCAGGACCCCGAGCGCAGUAGUUAAACCCUCGCUUUGGAAGGCCCUGGCGGUGCCCUGCCGUUAAACCCCCAACUUCUGAAAAUUUGACCUCGGAUCAGGUAGGAAUACCCGCUGAACUUAA
This 540-nucleotide unclassified non-coding RNA is filed under the name Phomopsis sp. P-Pt-16. RNAcentral's name for it is "partial contains ITS1, 5.8S rRNA and ITS2". The stretch from base 187 to 341 matches the Rfam family "5.8S ribosomal RNA". The record is from RNAcentral. Lineage: Eukaryota; Fungi; Ascomycota; Sordariomycetes; Diaporthales; Diaporthaceae.